RNAcentral lists this ribosomal RNA (898 nucleotides) under Pediococcus pentosaceus. RNAcentral describes it as "bacterial SSU rRNA". It matches the Rfam family "Bacterial small subunit ribosomal RNA", at positions 44 to 895 of the family's 1533-position model. The record is from RNAcentral. Lineage: Bacteria; Bacillati; Bacillota; Bacilli; Lactobacillales; Lactobacillaceae.
GUGCCUAAUACAUGCAAGUCGAACGAACUUCCGUUAAUUGAUUAUGACGUACUUGUACUGAUUGAGAUUUUAACACGAAGUGAGUGGCGAACGGGUGAGUAACACGUGGGUAACCUGCCCAGAAGUAGGGGAUAACACCUGGAAACAGAUGCUAAUACCGUAUAACAGAGAAAACCGCAUGGUUUUCUUUUAAAAGAUGGCUCUGCUAUCACUUCUGGAUGGACCCGCGGCGUAUUAGCUAGUUGGUGAGGUAAAGGCUCACCAAGGCAGUGAUACGUAGCCGACCUGAGAGGGUAAUCGGCCACAUUGGGACUGAGACACGGCCCAGACUCCUACGGGAGGCAGCAGUAGGGAAUCUUCCACAAUGGACGCAAGUCUGAUGGAGCAACGCCGCGUGAGUGAAGAAGGGUUUCGGCUCGUAAAGCUCUGUUGUUAAAGAAGAACGUGGGUAAGAGUAACUGUUUACCCAGUGACGGUAUUUAACCAGAAAGCCACGGCUAACUACGUGCCAGCAGCCGCGGUAAUACGUAGGUGGCAAGCGUUAUCCGGAUUUAUUGGGCGUAAAGCGAGCGCAGGCGGUCUUUUAAGUCUAAUGUGAAAGCCUUCGGCUCAACCGAAGAAGUGCAUUGGAAACUGGGAGACUUGAGUGCAGAAGAGGACAGUGGAACUCCAUGUGUAGCGGUGAAAUGCGUAGAUAUAUGGAAGAACACCAGUGGCGAAGGCGGCUGUCUGGUCUGCAACUGACGCUGAGGCUCGAAAGCAUGGGUAGCGAACAGGAUUAGAUACCCUGGUAGUCCAUGCCGUAAACGAUGAUUACUAAGUGUUGGAGGGUUUCCGCCCUUCAGUGCUGCAGCUAACGCAUUAAGUAAUCCGCCUGGGGAGUACGACGCGACGGGUU